GAAGACUUUCCAGUUCAGCUGCAUUCUUUCUAAGCAGGUGCAGUAGUUGAAGUUUGACAUUCCUGCACCAGCAUUUCUUCUGUGGCUUUUGAAUUAUGAGCCUCAUUGCUUUGAGGCCCCUCAGAAGCAUGGUGUAUCAAAGAAGCAUUUGCACUUUAGGUGUGUGUGGUUGUUACAUCAUUUAUCAGAACUUCUCAGGUUUUCUCAAACUCAGCACCAUUGACAUUUUAGACCUGAUAAUUCUUUGUUUGGAGUGGAGGAAGUGGCUAUCUUGUAGAGUAUUUGGUAGCUUUUAUGGCUUUCAUUGGCUGGAUCAUAGCACAUUCAACCUCUCCUGUUAUGACAGCCGAAGAUGUUUUCAGACACUGCCAGUGUCCCCUCGAAUCGAAAGGAUAGGAGAGGUUGACGAAACCCACCCCUUGUUAAAACCACUAUACCAAAAAGAGCCAAAAGACUUUUAACAUUCUGUUGUCAUUUAAUCUUCGUUACAGGUAGGUUUUUUUAUAAUACAACUUGGACUCCUAAACUCUUGGGACUAUUAGAAGAGACUGCAAAAGCCACACACAACCACAGCCCCAAAUCAUCCUUAUAUAUUUGUCAAUUUCUCCAGCCUCCAAAUUUACUGAGGGGAGAGUGGAAGAUUGAUUAUCUCUAGAAAUUUAGGAUUUGGCUUCUGCGUAGCUAGGGAUGUGGCCCUUUGGUAAUUAGGCUUUGCUACUGCAAUCUCCAUGGCAGUGGCUUCCACAUUCAGUGCAGGGACUGGAUACUGAAGUCACACAGCUUUGGCAUCUCACAGAUUUGCUUUGGGGAGUUACUUUUGUCAUCACACACAUUACACAAAUUUUGUUCCUUAGUCUUUGCCUCAGUGUGCACAGAAGUUAAAGCUGGCUACGUCUAAUUUUAAGUCUACCUGGAUGCUGUAUUUCUAUUUUUAAUUCCAGAAAGUUUUAUUUCCAUCAUCAGAAUAUUCUCCUUUAUUAUCCAGUCAGCUAUGGGCCUAAAGCAGUAGUGGUAAUAUUGAUUUAUUUCACUGUUUUUCUAGGUAGGGGAGAACCUUGACUAUCCCCAGUAAUUGAAAAUGGUAAUGCAGAGUUGGAAUACCUAAAUCUCCCAAAACAAAGCUCAUACUCAUUUGGUGUGCCUUAGGUCAGUCUUCCAGUAGGGGUGGCGAUUUCCUAUGGACAACUCUGAACCCAGUCAGUUUGUACUUGUGUCUGUUUUUGCACUGAUCGAAAAACUUGGCAAAGUUCAUCAAAGACAGCUCUUUAAAAAUGCCCCCAAUUAACAGCAAACUCCCAACUGGAAUAUCAGGCCUCCAUUUAUUCCUUUGCUAAGACCAACUCGGACUUUAAAUACAUUCAUAAUUAUUUACUAUAAAUUUACUAAUAUGGACACGAAAUUGAAAACAUUAAUUACAAAGUCUAUGACUAUGAAAUAUUAAAAAGUACAUACAGGGAAAGUUCUUGUAAGGCAGUCAUGGAAGUCAGAAAAUUUCAACUUCAAGACCCUCGGAUGUGUGUAUAAUUUUCUGCUCUACCACUAUUACAUCAAUCUACUUAGUAUUGUUUCUUAAGGUUUUAAGUAAGCUGAUCCUCUAGAUUCAACUUUAGAAUGGAUCUGCCUAAUUAUAGCUUGGCAUAACUUUUGUACCAUCCAGUGUUCAUGACUCUUAAAAUAGUUGCCCAUCACUCUUAAAAUGGAUGCCCAUUGCUCUUAAAAUGGUUGUUGCAAAGAGGCAAAAUGGUAACUACUGAAGUAAAAGCACAUAAUUUCUUGAAUUGAUUUUCCUUUGUAAGCUGAUAGAACAUAUUAUCAUUGGCUUCUUGAUAACACAUUUUUAUGAAUGACCAAAAACUUAUUAAUUUAUAUUAAUUUCUAGUUCAUUCUCCACAAUGAAAAAUUUUAUGUUUCUAGCCAGGAUAAAAGGCUGGAAAAUAUUAAAUGCAAACCACAAG
RNAcentral lists this long non-coding RNA (1955 nucleotides) under Heterocephalus glaber (naked mole-rat). RNAcentral's name for it is "lncRNA (ENSHGLG00100042172.1)". Lineage: Eukaryota; Metazoa; Chordata; Mammalia; Rodentia; Bathyergidae. The record is from RNAcentral.